GAGUUUGAUCGUGGCUCAGAUUGAACGCUGGCGGCAUGCCUUACACAUGCAAGUCGAACGGCAGCACGGGAGCUUGCUCCUGGUGGCGAGUGGCGAACGGGUGAGUAAUGCAUCGGAACGUAUCCUGGAGUGGGGGAUAACGUAGCGAAAGUUACGCUAAUACCGCAUAUUCUGUGAGCAGGAAAGCGGGGGACCUUCGGGCCUCGCGCUCUUGGAGCGGCCGAUGUCGGAUUAGCUAGUUGGUGAGGUAAAGGCUCACCAAGGCGACGAUCCGUAGCAGGUCUGAGAGGAUGAUCUGCCACACUGGAACUGAGACACGGUCCAGACUCCUACGGGAGGCAGCAGUGGGGAAUUUUGGACAAUGGGGGCAACCCUGAUCCAGCCAUGCCGCGUGAGUGAAGAAGGCCUUCGGUGUAA
This 417-nucleotide ribosomal RNA is filed under the name bacterium enrichment culture clone ALO1_GLFRUDD03FWBOW. Its description in RNAcentral is "bacterial SSU rRNA". It matches the Rfam family "Bacterial small subunit ribosomal RNA", at positions 9 to 428 of the family's 1533-position model. The record is from RNAcentral.